Non-coding RNA from Pelobates cultripes (western spadefoot toad), 220 nucleotides. The record is from the annotation of a GenBank genome assembly. Lineage: Eukaryota; Metazoa; Chordata; Amphibia; Anura; Pelobatidae.
GCAAUGUUUAACAUUGCAGGAAAAAAAAUGUCAGGGACAGUGCACCCAUACAAUUUAAUAGAGAUGACAACAGGCCUGAACUGGCUAUCGGCAAACCAGGCAAAUGCCCAGGAACAAGUGUCAUCUGUCCCUUUAUCUGUAAUCCUCGCAAAAUCCAUCUACUCUUAAGAUUUUCAAUGCAAGUCAUUGUGAGUAAAGAAUACAAUGUAUUGUGCAUGAG